UACGUAGGGUCCGAGCGUUGUCCGGAAUUAUUGGGCGUAAAGGGCUCGUAGGCGGUUUGUCGCGUCGGGAGUGAAAACUCAGGGCUUAACCCUGAGCGUGCUUCCGAUACGGGCAGACUAGAGGGAUGCAGGGGAGAACGGAAUUCCUGGUGUAGCGGUGGAAUGCACAGAUAUCAGGAGGAACGACCGGUGGCGAAGGCGGGUCUCUGGGCCACUACUGACGCUGAGAAGCGAAAGCAUGGGGAGCGAACAGG
RNAcentral lists this ribosomal RNA (254 nucleotides) under uncultured bacterium. Its description in RNAcentral is "partial 16S ribosomal RNA". It matches the Rfam family "Bacterial small subunit ribosomal RNA", at positions 524 to 776 of the family's 1533-position model. The record is from RNAcentral.